CCGAAACUAAGUGAGCUACUUUAAAAUAGCCCUAGAGCCAACCCGUCUCUGUUGCAAUAGAGUGGGAUAAUUUUCAAGUAGAGGUGAUAAACCUAUCGAACUUAGAGAUAGCUGGUUUUUUAAAAAAAGAUUUUUAGUUCAGCCUUGAGCCUCUUAUUACACAAAAAUAAAUUUAGAUUCAAGAGUUAUUCAAAUAAGGCACAGCUUAUUUGAAACAGGAUACAACCUAGAAAAAAGGGUAUGACAGAUUAAAUUUUUAACAAGUGGGCCUAAAAGCAGCCACCUUUAAAAAAGCGUCAAAGCUUAAUAUUAACAGACUUAUUAAUGUCCUCAUCAACCUCUAACCCUUAACCAAUAUUAAAAAACUCCAUAAUACUAUGGAAGCUACUAUGCUAGAACAAGUAACAAGAAAAAGACUUUCUCCAAAAUGUAAGCUUAAGCCAUAAUAGACCAACUAAUGGCAAUUAACGUUUAUAAGCUAUUUAUAGUAACCUCAACAAGAAAAACCUAUAUAAAUGACACCGUUAAACUUACACCAGCGCAU
Molecule: ribosomal RNA, 544 nt
Filed under: Boophis septentrionalis
Lineage: Eukaryota; Metazoa; Chordata; Amphibia; Anura; Mantellidae
Description: partial 16S ribosomal RNA
Rfam family: Bacterial large subunit ribosomal RNA (bases 1-396)
Source: RNAcentral